AAUAGAUACCCUGUAGUCCACGCCGUAAACGAUGAGUGCUAAGUGUUAGAGGGUUUCCGCCCUUUAGUGCUGCAGCUAACGCAUUAAGCACUCCGCCUGGGGAGUACGGCCGCAAGGCUGAAACUCAAAGGAAUUGACGGGGGCCCGCACAAGCGGUGGAGCAUGUGGUUUAAUUCGAAGCAACGCGAAGAACCUUACCAGGUCUUGACAUCCUCUGACAACCCUAGAGAUAGGGCUUUCCCCUUCGGGGGACAGAGUGACAGGUGGUGCAUGGUUGUCGUCAGCUCGUGUCGUGAGAUGUUGGGUUAAGUCCCGCAACGAGCGCAACCCUUGAUCUUAGUUGCCAGCAUUCAGUUGGGCACUCUAAGGUGACUGCCGGUGACAAACCGGAGGAAGGUGGGGAUGACGUCAAAUCAUCAUGCCCCUUAUGACCUGGGCUACACACGUGCUACAAUGGAUGGUACAAAGGGCUGCAAACCCGCGAAGGUAAGCGAAUCCCAUAAAGCCAUUCUCAGUUCGGAUUGCAGG
RNAcentral lists this ribosomal RNA (528 nucleotides) under uncultured bacterium. RNAcentral describes it as "bacterial SSU rRNA". It matches the Rfam family "Bacterial small subunit ribosomal RNA", at positions 777 to 1304 of the family's 1533-position model. The record is from RNAcentral.